Molecule: long non-coding RNA, 2076 nt
Organism: Gopherus agassizii (Agassiz's desert tortoise)
Lineage: Eukaryota; Metazoa; Chordata; Testudines; Testudinidae
Source: Ensembl
CUCCAGGCGAGUCAGAAAUACUUCAAGUCUCCUGCUCUCUGCGCUGGAAGGAAACUGAAGUUUUCCGUUUCCCCUCCGCUCCGUGCAGUUGCACAUGGCUUCUGAGAGGGCUGCUCCCCUCAGCUGCCCAGGAGCAGGCAAGGCCAGGCAUGUGAUGUGCGUUUAUUCCUAGGCAGUGCUGCUAACUUUGCAGUGGGAGGUCCGGUCUCUCCAGUCCAGACUUAGACCGACGCCUGUUAACUGUGGGGCCUGGAGUAGCUCCCUUGGCCCGACCCCACCCACUGUGGCUCAGCUGAUUUGUGCCUGGGUGCCCAGCCGUGGCCGUUGGAAUUGGGGGCUUGAACGUGGAGGGGUUUCGCCUUGAGCAACAUGAUGUUCCCCGGAAGAGGACACCCAAAUAGUUUCUUCCAUCCCUGCCCUCAGGAUAUCAGCCCCUCCGCCUACCCUGCUGACUUUCUCAGGGAUGACGAGGGCAUGGGGUGGGCGCCCCAGGACCAUCAGGAGGCAGCCAGCUGGGAUUACCGACACGGGAGACGCGAGGAAGGCUUCAGGGACAGGUGGCACUCGCCCUUUUCCCGAGACAUCGAACCCUACCCCGCUGACUUUUACGGGGGUGACAAGGGCAGGUGCUGGGCACCCCAGGACCAUCAGCAGCCAGCCAGGUGGGAGAACCAACCCAGGAGGCACGAGGAAGGCUUCAGGGGUGGUUGGCACUCGCCCUUUUCCCGAGACAUUGAACCCUACCCCGCUGACUUUUACGGGGGUGACAGCGGUGGAUGCUGGGCACCCCAGGACCAUCAGCAGCCAGCCAGGUGGGAGAACCAACCUGGGAGACAUGAGGAUGGUUUCAGGGAUGAGUGGCACUCGGCCACACCACCUAACCAGCACUGCCCGGAGUCAGUAUCGAGGGAGGAACAUGGCAACUCCUGGGACAGGGAGCAAGACUUCUUCCCCAGGAAGUACCGUGGCCGCGGCUGGAAGCAUCACCGUGGUCCUUUCCGAGGCGGCUACCGAGGGAAAUUCACCCCUCACUACCACUGCUUUCAGUCUUACUCCUCCAGAGAAAAAUUCAAGUCAUCCAGGUCGUCGGCCUCCCGCUCCCCAGAGAGAUGCUUGGUGUCCAGUAGAAAGAAAAGUGUUUCUUCUAAGACAGAGAAAGCGAAAUCAGCAGCGCCCAAAAAACCUGGAAAAUCCAAGAAAGACUCUGCAGCUCCAGUGAAAGAACCCAAACCGCCCCAGGUCCAGCUGGACGCUAGCCAGACAGCCACAGACCCUUCCAGCCAAGCCGGCUCUGCGCUGGAUAUUGAACCCCCAGCUUCACCCGAAACCACAGAGGAUCUUCAUCCCUUGGGAACGGAAGGAAUUGAGCUGGUCCAGCUGGGGGCCGGUCUGGAGGCUGCAGACAAUCACAGCCAGGCCUGCUGCAUUCUGGCAACUGACUCAGUCCUGGCUGACACCCCGAAGGAUCUUUGUCUCCCGGAGGAAGAAAUCAAGCUGGUCCAGUUGGAAGCCAGCCACGAAGCCACAGAUGAUCCCAGCCAGGCGGGCUCUGAUCUGGCUGAUGAGCCCCUAGCCUCACCUGAAACUACAGAGGAGCAUCAUCUCAUCAGAACAGAAGAUACUGAGAUGCUCCAGCUGGAAGACAACCUGAAGGCCCCAGAUCUUCUCAGCCAGGCUGUCUCUGCUCUAGCUGCUUUACCUCCAGUCUGGUCUGAGAUCACAGAGGAGCUGCCUCCCGUGGUAAAGGAAGAAAUUGAGCUGGAGCAGCUGGCCACUCAUCAGGAGGACGCAGGCUAUCCUUACCAGGCCUGCUCUGCUCUGGCUACCCCAGCGGAGACCAUGCAGUACCUUCGUUCUGCUGCCAUACUGGCCAGAAAGGAAGAAAUUGAGCUAUCCUACCAGCAAUCCAGCCUGGCCUUUGCUGUGGUGGCCACCAUGCUGCUGCACAAGGAGCCCUCCAUGGAGGCGGCGAUGGGGUCUGCGCUGCGGGCCAACCUGCGGCAGGUCGGGGGCCACUGCCUGCGGGAGCUGGAGCACUUCAUUAGCAGCUACGACUCGGGCUCCACCCACUCAUGA